Ictidomys tridecemlineatus (thirteen-lined ground squirrel) is the source of this 380-nucleotide non-coding RNA. The record is from RefSeq and is a predicted model, not a curated record. NCBI's taxonomy places the organism in Eukaryota, Metazoa, Chordata, Mammalia, Rodentia, Sciuridae.
CUUAAAGGGAAUUCCAGGAAAACCAUGCUUCUGGUCAUAGAGGAAAAGAUGGGGUUGUUUUAGGUCAAAGUGUGAAGGACCUAGGACUGUGGUCCUAUAACCUCAGCUUUUCCAACAAGUGACUACGGAGUCACGAUGGAUUCCCGCCUACUACUAUGCGUGACUCGUGUGAAGUCAUUCCUGCAAGACUGCAGCAGCUUGGGCUCUACCAGUAGGUCUCCUUCCCUCUGUAGCAACCCUGGCACCUCCCUUCCCCUCUGCUAAGGAACAGGAAGGAUGAUUUGGAGUCUGAGCAUGCUUUCUCCAGCACCAAUUCCAGUUUGUGAGCUGAGAACAUCUGCAGCUGCGGGGGGUCCACAGGUCUGGGAGAAGAAAGAGUG